CUCUACGGCCAUACCACCCUGAACGCACCCGAUCUUGUCUGAUCUCGGAAGCUAAGCAGGGUCAGGCCUGGUUAGUACUUGGAUGGGAGGCUAUCUUUCCUUUUCCCUAUGAGUCUGUCUUCCCAAUGUAAAUA
This 134-nucleotide ribosomal RNA is filed under the name Ochotona princeps (American pika). Lineage: Eukaryota; Metazoa; Chordata; Mammalia; Lagomorpha; Ochotonidae. The record is from RNAcentral.